This 384-nucleotide ribosomal RNA is filed under the name uncultured bacterium. RNAcentral describes it as "bacterial SSU rRNA". It matches the Rfam family "Bacterial small subunit ribosomal RNA", at positions 370 to 772 of the family's 1533-position model. The record is from RNAcentral.
AAUGGGGGAAACCCUGAUGCAGCGACGCCGCGUGAGCGAAGAAGGCCUUCGGGUCGUAAAGCUCUGUCCUAAGGGAAGAAGAAGACGGUACCUUAGGAGGAAGCCCCGGCUAACUACGUGCCAGCAGCCGCGGUAAUACGUAGGGGGCGAGCGUUAUCCGGAAUUACUGGGCGUAAAGGGUGCGCAGGCGGCCAUUUAAGUCAGAUGUGAAAGGCUACGGCUUAACCGUAGUUAGCAUUUGAAACUAGAAGGCUUGAGUGCAGUAGAGGAGAGUGGAAUUCCUAGUGUAGCGGUGAAAUGCGUAGAUAUUAGGAGGAACACCAGUGGCGAAGGCGACUCUCUGGACUGCAACUGACGCUGAGGCACGAAAGCGUGGGUAGCGAA